Molecule: long non-coding RNA, 516 nt
Organism: Pyrus x bretschneideri (Chinese white pear)
Lineage: Eukaryota; Viridiplantae; Streptophyta; Magnoliopsida; Rosales; Rosaceae
Exons: 3
Source: RefSeq, a predicted model, not a curated record
AUAAAUAGCGCCCAAGCUCGGGGGUAACGGAUAUGGUUUCUUUGAUCCCUUUUUCUUACAUGCUUUGGUGGUUGUUCAAGUUUGUCAUCUCACAUUUGGGUCGUCUAGUCACUGGUUUCUUGAUUUGCUCAUCGUUUUAGGCAGAUUGAACAUGGCAGCAUAUAGUGUUGUUGCUACAGUUCUUAACCUUAAAAACUAUGAUGAAUGGAGUUCUCGGGUUAAGACUUACUUGAUGGCAGAAGAUCUUUGGGAUAUCGUCGAAGGCACAUAUAAAGAACCGCCUCUUAUUGACCCCCUUCCAACUGAUGGAUCUUACACCAGAAGAAAAAGAAGCUGAAAUUAAGGCUUGGAAGGCUGCUUCAGCUUUGCUGGAGCUGCUAUAUGUAGAAGGUUCAACGAUCAUGUUGCCUCUACUUUUGCUUGCUUAUUUAUUUUUCGUUACAACUCUAUUUCACAAAUAACCUUUGGCUACACAUUCAUGUGAUUGAACUCUAUCCGAAAAUACAAAUAUUGACC